UGCAGUUAAAAAGCUCGUAGUUGGAUUUCGGAGUGGGCCAGUUGGUCCGCCGCAAGGUGUGUUACUGACUGGUUUGCUCUUCUUCGCAAAGACUGCGUGUGCUCUUGAGUGAGUGUGCGUAGGAUUUACGACGUUUACUUUGAAAAAAUUAGAGUGUUCAAAGCAGGCUAUUGCUUGAAUACAUGAGCAUGGAAUAAUGGAAUAGGACUUUGGUCCCAUUUUGUUGGUUUCUAGGGCCGAAGUAAUGAUUAAGAGGGACAAUUGGGGGCAUCCGUAUUUCGUUGUCAGAGGUGAAAUUCUUGGAUUUACGAAAGACGAACAACUGCGAAAGCACUUGCCAAGAGUGUUUUCAUUAAUCAAGAACGAAAGUUAGAGGAUCGAAGACGAUCAGAUACCGUCCUAGUUCUAACCAUAAACGAUGUCAACUAGGGAUCAGUGGGCGUUACAUACGACCUCAUUGGCACCUUAAGGGAAACCAAAGUUUUUGGAUUCCGGGGGAAGUAUGGUUGCAAAGCUGAAACUUAAAGGAAUUGACGGAAGGGCACCACCAGGAGUGGAGCCUGCGGCUUAAUUUGACUCAACACGGGAAAACUCACCAGGUCCAGACAUAGUAAGGAUUGACAGGUUGAGAGCCCUUUC
This 639-nucleotide ribosomal RNA is filed under the name uncultured marine eukaryote. RNAcentral describes it as "SSU rRNA". It matches the Rfam family "Eukaryotic small subunit ribosomal RNA", at positions 614 to 1261 of the family's 1831-position model. The record is from RNAcentral.